UCGUAUAAAAAGAAACACAAACAUAGGAGCAUGAAACUGAAAAAUGUUUUUGGAUAUCAUCGAACAUGACAUGUUACAGAAGCCAAAUGCACCACCAUGUAAGCAACCAAAUACUGAGAAAGGCUGAUGGGACUCCCCAGCUUCAGAAGCCAAUCUCCUAUCUAGAUUCUUUUGGUAGGCAUAAGGCAUCCUUUAACUAUAAUUCACUCAACUCAAUGAGCUCAUUGAAGUUUAAUCAAAUAUUUUCAUUUAAUGACCAAAAUGUUAAGUAUUUCAGAAAACAUCGCUAGCUCUCUCUAUUGGAUUAUGAUGAGAUUCAUGACAAUUCUGCGAAAUCAGAAAUUCUUUAUCAACAAAGAGCUAUGUUAACAGUUUAUGUAAGUUGAAUAAAUAUACAGAAUUGACUUAUUAUACAAUAGCCAUUAGCCAACAUCAAGACCUUCACAAUUGCAUCAACCUUUACCAGAACAAUGCAGAACAUCCUCUGAGAAGACAAGGUUCAUCCAGACUAGAUAUAUAACUUUUAUUUUCAGGGGCUUUUCUGUUUCAUCCAUAACAUGUUUGUAGAGAAAGAAACUUUUUAAGCUCACGCAGACAACUUUGAAAAACAUAAAGUAUCCCUAUUGAACAUAUCAUGACUAUGUGAUCUUUAUUUGACACAGACCUUCUGAUCUACAUAAGCAUAUCCAAUAUAGGGGGACUAAAUUUAACCACCAGCAGGAUGGGAAAAAAAGAAGUUACAUACAUAAUGGAUAUAGCCAUGUAAACAACCAAAAAUUGCCAGAUUAUAAUAUACUAGUGUAUACUAGUAUAUAGCCAUGCCGCACAUGAUAUGUUUUGAACACUGUUUUUGGAUACAUUGAACUGAAAAAUGUUUUUGGAUAUCAUCGAACAUGACAUGUUAUAGAAGCCAAAUGCACCACAAAACAACAAUAUAAAAGCCUGGUUUGAUUAGUAGGGAUAAGACCAGGCCCCUCCACACAGACAACAAAGAAUAGCCACAUCAUGAUGAAUGAUUUAUAACAUACUUGAUUGAUAAUAUAAUUCUUUUUCCAUUUUUUUCUGUGCGUUGGGCCCUUUUUCAAGUUUUAGUCAGCAUUAUAACACACACAUGUAUAUAUAUAUACAUACAUAUCAAUCCAUUUGGCAGGGGGACACAAACAAGAAGUGAUCAAUUGAUAAAAUUGUAACAAGAAUUCAAGCAAGGAAACCAAACAAAAGGCAGGAACAGAUACUCACUUGCAUAUUGCGGGUUGUCUUACUGUGGGUUGCAGGUAGUAUUGUGUUUCAGAAACACAGGUAUUAUCAAAUGCUGUCCCUAAUAGGAGGAAUACUCAAUAUUCAUCAUAUUGUUUAUCUGUAGCCCUGCCUCUAUUUUCUUAGUAAUAUGCGUGAGCAUUCAGCAACUUUUACAUAGACUUGUACUUUUUUCCCAAGUAUGUCUAGCCUUGAUUAAAUUGUAUACCACUUUCACCAAAUUCAGAGACUAAUAAGACUAUUUAUUCCAAUCAAACUGAAAGACAUAAAUUUACAUUAUUUAUACGAAUUCUUUUCUCCAAAAACCUAAAGAUUACAACUAGAUAGGAAAGAAAGGUGUUCUCAAAAUUUUAGACCAUUUCAUAUUGGGCAGAGGAAAGAAGCUUAUAAACAUGAUAUAACCAGAAAUCUUAGAAAGGCUUUUGUGCGUUCCCUAAUCUAAUCUUCAUAGCGUCAAUACAUCAAACGUGUGGUUCACAUAUAUCCAAAAUCAAAAUUGACUGAGCACCCAAAAUCAGAUUUGAUUAAACACAAAUAGAGACAUGGGAGGCGAGCGAAGCCGUAGGCUAUGGGAUCGAUCGAUCGGAGAGAUAAAGUCGGGUGAAAAUGAACGAAUCUGCACGGGAAUGAAAUAAACCCGGAAUGAUAACAUUUUA
RNAcentral lists this long non-coding RNA (1913 nucleotides) under Panax ginseng (ginseng). Its description in RNAcentral is "long non-coding RNA (PGIN_LNC018777)". The record is from RNAcentral. Lineage: Eukaryota; Viridiplantae; Streptophyta; Magnoliopsida; Apiales; Araliaceae.